RNAcentral lists this ribosomal RNA (484 nucleotides) under uncultured bacterium. RNAcentral describes it as "partial 16S ribosomal RNA". It matches the Rfam family "Bacterial small subunit ribosomal RNA", at positions 30 to 507 of the family's 1533-position model. The record is from RNAcentral.
AUUGAACGCUGGCGGCAGGCCUAACACAUGCAAGUCGAGCGGACGAAGGGAGCUUGCUCCUGGAUUCAGCGGCGGACGGGCGAGUAAUGCCUAGGAAUCUGACUGGUAGUGGGGGAUAACGUCCGGAAACGGGCGCUAAUACCGCAUACGUCCUGAGGGAGAAAGUGGGGGAUCUUCGGACCUCACGCUAUUUGAUGAGCCUAGGUCGGAUUAGCUAGUUGGUGGGGUAAAGGCCUACCAAGGCGACGAUCCGUAACUGGUCUGAGAGGAUGAUCAGUCACACUGGAACUGAGACACGGUCCAGACUCCUACGGGAGGCAGCAGUGGGGAAUAUUGGACAAUGGGCGAAAGCCUGAUCCAGCCAUGCCGCGUGUGUGAAGAAGGUCUUCGGAUUGUAAAGCACUUUAAGUUGGGAGGAAGGGCAGUAAGUUAAUACCUUGCUGUUUUGACGUUACCAACAGAAUAAGCACCGGCUAACUUCGUG